RNAcentral lists this transfer RNA (34 nucleotides) under Naemorhedus cranbrooki. Its description in RNAcentral is "Nemorhedus cranbrooki partial tRNA-Ser". The record is from RNAcentral. Lineage: Eukaryota; Metazoa; Chordata; Mammalia; Artiodactyla; Bovidae.
CUAUGCCCCCAUGUCUAAUAGCAUGGCUUUUUCA